Molecule: ribosomal RNA, 253 nt
Filed under: uncultured bacterium
Lineage: Bacteria
Description: partial 16S ribosomal RNA
Rfam family: Bacterial small subunit ribosomal RNA
Source: RNAcentral
UACGGAGGGGGCUAGCGUUGUUCGGAAUUACUGGGCGUAAAGCGCGCGUAGGCGGACUGUUAAGUCGGGGGUGAAAUCACGGGGCUCAACCCCGGAACGGCCUUCGAUACUGGCAGUCUGGAGGACGGAAGAGGUCAGUGGAAUGGCGAGUGUAGAGGUGAAAUUCGUAGAUAUUCGCCGGAACACCAGUGGCGAAGGCGACUGACUGGUCCGUUUCUGACGCUGAGGCGCGAAAGCGUGGGGAGCUAACAGG